Molecule: ribosomal RNA, 497 nt
Filed under: uncultured bacterium
Lineage: Bacteria
Description: partial 16S ribosomal RNA
Rfam family: Bacterial small subunit ribosomal RNA
Source: RNAcentral
GAUGAACGCUGGCGGCGUGCCUAAUACAUGCAAGUCGAGCGGACAGACGAGGCGCUUGCUCCUCUGACGUUAGCGGCGGACGGGUGAGUAACACGUGGAUCACCUACCUAUAAGACUGGGAUAACUUCGGGAAACCGGAGCUAAUACCGGAUAAUAUAUUGCACCGCAUGGUUCGAUAGUGAAAGUCGGUUUUGCUGGCACUUAUAGAUGGAUCCGGGCCGCAUUAGCUAGUUGGUAAGGUAACGGCGUACCAAGGCGAGCAUGCGUAACCGACCGGUGAGGGGGGUCGGCCACCUGGGAAGGGAGACAGGCUCAAGAGGCCUAAGGUAGGCAGCAGAAUGGAACCGGACGCAACGGGCGAAAGCCUGACGGAGUAAGGCGGCGUCAGUGAUGAAGGCCCUGGGAGCGGAAAACCGGGUUAUGAGGGAAGAACAACUGUGGAAGGAACCAAGGACGUAGUGACGGUAAUGAAUCAGAAAGCACCGGCUAACUACGUG